Neopelma chrysocephalum (saffron-crested tyrant-manakin) is the source of this 115-nucleotide long non-coding RNA. RefSeq lists it as uncharacterized. The transcript has 3 exons. NCBI's taxonomy places the organism in Eukaryota, Metazoa, Chordata, Aves, Passeriformes, Pipridae. The record is from RefSeq and is a predicted model, not a curated record.
GCCACUUUAUUGAGGGAGAGCAGGGACUUAAAUAGGGUAGGUCUGAGGGGAGGAUUCUGAACUGGGGAGGAGCUUGAGACUGACAACUCAGGGAGAAGACAGAAUUGAGGAAACA